Molecule: ribosomal RNA, 771 nt
Filed under: uncultured bacterium
Lineage: Bacteria
Description: bacterial SSU rRNA
Rfam family: Bacterial small subunit ribosomal RNA
Source: RNAcentral
AGAGUUUGAUCAUGGCUCAGGACGAACGCUGGCGGCGUGCUUAACACAUGCAAGUCGAGCGGUAAGGCCCUUCGGGGUACACGAGCGGCGAACGGGUGAGUAACACGUGGGUAACCUGCCCUGUACUCUGGGAUAAGCCUUGGAAACGAGGUCUAAUACCGGAUACGACCACUGGAUGCAUGUCCGGUGGUGGAAAGUUCCGGCGGUAUGGGAUGGACCCGCGGCCUAUCAGCUUGUUGGUGGGGUAAUGGCCUACCAAGGCGACGACGGGUAGCCGGCCUGAGAGGGUGACCGGCCACACUGGGACUGAGACACGGCCCAGACUCCUACGGGAGGCAGCAGUGGGGAAUAUUGCACAAUGGGCGAAAGCCUGAUGCAGCGACGCCGCGUGAGGGAUGACGGCCUUCGGGUUGUAAACCUCUUUCAGCAGGGACGAAGCGCAAGUGACGGUACCUGCAGAAGAAGCACCGGCUAACUACGUGCCAGCAGCCGCGGUAAUACGUAGGGUGCGAGCGUUGUCCGGAAUUAUUGGGCGUAAAGAGCUCGUAGGCGGUUUGUCGCGUCGGCCGUGAAAACUUGGGGCUUAACUCCAAGCUUGCGGUCGAUACGGGCAGACUUGAGUUCGGCAGGGGAGACUGGAAUUCCUGGUGUAGCGGUGAAAUGCGCAGAUAUCAGGAGGAACACCGGUGGCGAAGGCGGGUCUCUGGGCCGAUACUGACGCUGAGGAGCGAAAGCGUGGGGAGCGAACAGGAUUAGAUACCCUAGUAGUCC